CCAGCUUCUAAUGUUGGCAUUUGGACUUUUAGACGCACCAGAAGAUAGAAGCACAAGAUCGAGGAGAAAAGGUGCAUCAAAAACAUGGUCUAUGGAAUAUUUAGAAAUUUACAAUUUUAUACUCUACAAAGGACAAGAGUUCUGCUGGUUUUGACUGUGAUGUCAGACAUCUAGAUAUAUACAAAGACAAGGACGAUGCUGCAUUUCUUUUACACUCCACAUUUCAUCUGACAUCACAUGACAGGUGAGAACCAAUGACUUCUGGAUGGGUAGAUGAAAAAGAAAGAUCUUUCUUCACUGGCCAAUACUGACACAUACUAACUGAAAAUUACUGGUCAUGGGAGGUGGUGC
Molecule: long non-coding RNA, 351 nt
Organism: Bufo gargarizans (Asiatic toad)
Lineage: Eukaryota; Metazoa; Chordata; Amphibia; Anura; Bufonidae
Exons: 3
Source: RefSeq, a predicted model, not a curated record